Non-coding RNA from Picea glauca (white spruce), 123 nucleotides. Lineage: Eukaryota; Viridiplantae; Streptophyta; Pinopsida; Pinales; Pinaceae. The record is from Rfam.
AUGUACAUUCCUACAACAUAGCGUUAAUGCAUCAGAUCCCAUUAGAACUCUGCAGUUAAUCACGCUCAGGCUAGAGUAGUACUAGGAUGGGUGACCACGUGGGGAGUCCUAGUGUUUUACAUG